Molecule: long non-coding RNA, 1087 nt
Organism: Drosophila elegans
Lineage: Eukaryota; Metazoa; Arthropoda; Insecta; Diptera; Drosophilidae
Exons: 2
Source: RefSeq, a predicted model, not a curated record
AGCGCAGGGCCGAUCCGGAGGCGUAGGCCAAGGCCAAAGCGAAAACAAUGAGAACCUUCAUGUUGGUGCCACCUAUGGAAAGUAUGUCCCACUCGGACUCAUCCCACCGCUUUUAUAGCCGUGAGUAGCCCCACAAUCAAGUGACGUCCGUCUUCAUCGCUAUCUGAUCUUCGGGCACCUGCUCAAGUGGCCUCGUCUCCUUGUGUUUUGCCCACCUAUCAUCGGCAUGCGCCUUUCGAGCGAUAUGGGAGCUGAUCUGCGCUUCCCAUCGCCCGUGCUUCUUGAAAAUGCUUAGAUACGAAGCAGUGAAUCGUCAGAAUUCUUCCCGGCCAAAAGAUAAUAUAAGAGGAAUACAAUCGGCAAUAUUUGGGAUUUUUCCAGGGGCCCGUACAUAAUCCAUCGACCAAAUGUUUUAUAGAUAAUGCCCAGCACUGUUUGAUCAGCCAUCGAGGGCCACUCUAGGCGUAGACGACCCCGCUCACCUCGCCAAUCCAAUCCAGAUAGGCGGUGACGCGUGUGAACACCGAUGGAUAGCCCUUCGUGCAGCCCGACUUUUUGCCAUAGGAAGUAAUGCCGAUCAGAACGUCUGUAUGUAAGGUGGGAUCCUCGAAGACCAGCGGUCCGCCGGAGUCGCCAUGGCAAGUGGACUUGCCGCUGGUGGUGUCCAUGCAGAUGUUGCUUUGCUGAAUGUUGGAGUAGGAGAACCGACAGUCCUCGUUGGAUUCCACAAAGCGGACCACAUAACGCAGGGUAUUGGAUAACGCAGCGGAUUCUGUGGAUCAGAAUUUUGCAUGAUCAGAAAAUGGUUAAACGUUAAAUAUACUAAUAUUAUUAUUAUUAAUAAAUAGAUUUACAUUCUAAGCAAACGUCAUAAAAAUAAUAUUAGCAAAUGUGACACUUAAACUAAGCUUUGUUUACACUUUAAAAAUGUAUAAAAUACAUUGGAAAAUUAUCUUGUAAAAAGAAAAGUUUGAAAAGUAAAAGAGUCAUACAUUAAUAUGUUGAUCACUUAUAGUUUGCUUAAUAUUAAUACAUUUAAAUUUGUUUGAGAUUUUUACAAAAAUAAUAAUAAUAAUAUAACAAUAAA